AUGGGGACACUGAGACACUUGGGGACACUGGGAGACAUGGGGACACAGACACUAGGGACACAAUGUCCCCAAGUGUCUGUCCCCUUGUCGCCCAGCUAGUGUCCCUGGUGUCUCAGUGUCCCCAUGUUUCCCAGUGCCCCUAGUGUCUCAGUGUCCAUAGU
This 161-nucleotide microRNA precursor is filed under the name Pelobates cultripes (western spadefoot toad). The record is from RNAcentral. Lineage: Eukaryota; Metazoa; Chordata; Amphibia; Anura; Pelobatidae.